Molecule: ribosomal RNA, 2357 nt
Filed under: Listeria monocytogenes
Lineage: Bacteria; Bacillati; Bacillota; Bacilli; Caryophanales; Listeriaceae
Description: partial 23S ribosomal RNA
Rfam family: Bacterial large subunit ribosomal RNA
Source: RNAcentral
CUGAGUACGGCGGAACACGUGAAAUUCCGUCGGAAUCCGGGAGGACCAUCUCCCAAGGCUAAAUACUCCCUAGUGACCGAUAGUGAACCAGUACCGUGAGGGAAAGGUGAAAAGCACCCCGGAAGGGGAGUGAAACAGUUCCUGAAACCGUGUGCCUACAAGUAGUUAGAGCCCGUUAAUGGGUGAUAGCGUGCCUUUUGUAGAAUGAACCGGCGAGUUACGAUUUGUUGCAAGGUUAAGCGGAAAAAGCGGAGCCGUAGCGAAAGCGAGUCUGAAUAGGGCGCAUAAGUAACAGGUCGUAGACCCGAAACCAGGUGAUCUACCCAUGUCCAGGAUGAAGGUAAGGUAAUACUUACUGGAGGUCCGAACCCACGCACGUUGAAAAGUGCGGGGAUGAGGUGUGGGUAGCGGAGAAAUUCCAAUCGAACUUGGAGAUAGCUGGUUCUCUCCGAAAUAGCUUUAGGGCUAGCCUCGAGGUAAAGAGUCAUGGAGGUAGAGCACUGUUUGGACUAGGGGCCCUUCUCGGGUUACCGAAUUCAGAUAAACUCCGAAUGCCAUGUACUUAUACUCGGGAGUCAGACUGCGAGUGAUAAGAUCCGUAGUCGAAAGGGAAACAGCCCAGACCACCAGUUAAGGUCCCCAAAUAUAUGUUAAGUGGAAAAGGAUGUGGGGUUGCUUAGACAACCAGGAUGUUGGCUUAGAAGCAGCCACCAUUGAAAGAGUGCGUAAUAGCUCACUGGUCGAGUGACCCCGCGCCGAAAAUGUACCGGGGCUAAACAUAUUACCGAAACUGUGGAUGAACCUCUUUAGAGGUUCGUGGUAGGAGAGCGUUCUAAGGGCGGUGAAGUCAGACCGGAAGGACUGGUGGAGCGCUUAGAAGUGAGAAUGCCGGUAUGAGUAGCGAAAGAAGGGUGAGAAUCCCUUCCACCGAAUAUCUAAGGUUUCCUGAGGAAGGCUCGUCCGCUCAGGGUUAGUCGGGACCUAAGCCGAGGCCGAUAGGCGUAGGCGAUGGACAACAGGUAGAGAUUCCUGUACCAGUGCUAAUUGUUUAACCGAUGGGGUGACACAGAAGGAUAGGGAAUCGCACGAAUGGAAAUGUGCGUCCAAGCAGUGAGUGUGAGAAGUAGGCAAAUCCGCUUCUCGCGAAGCAUGAGCUGUGAUGGGGAAGGAAAUUAAGUACGGAAGUUCCUGAUUUCACGCUGUCAAGAAAAGCCUCUAGGAAGAGUAGUACUGCCCGUACCGCAAACCGACACAGGUAGAUGAGGAGAGAAUCCUAAGGUGAGCGAGAGAACUCUCGUUAAGGAACUCGGCAAAAUGACCCCGUAACUUCGGGAGAAGGGGUGCUCUAUUAGGGUGCAAGCCCGAGAGAGCCGCAGUGAAUAGGCCCAGGCGACUGUUUAGCAAAAACACAGGUCUCUGCAAAACCGUAAGGUGACGUAUAGGGGCUGACGCCUGCCCGGUGCUGGAAGGUUAAGAGGAGUGCUUAGCUUCGGCGAAGGUACGAAUUGAAGCCCCAGUAAACGGCGGCCGUAACUAUAACGGUCCUAAGGUAGCGAAAUUCCUUGUCGGGUAAGUUCCGACCCGCACGAAAGGCGCAACGAUCUGGGCACUGUCUCAACGAGAGACUCGGUGAAAUUAUAGUACCUGUGAAGAUGCAGGUUACCCGCGACAGGACGGAAAGACCCCGUGGAGCUUUACUGCAACCUGAUAUGGAAUGUUUGUACCGCUUGUACAGGAUAGGUAGGAGCCGAAGAGACGUGUGCGCUAGCAUACGAGGAGGCAAUGGUGGGAUACUACCCUGGCUGUAUGACCAUUCUAACCCGCCACGCUUAGCGCGUGGGGAGACAGUGUCAGGUGGGCAGUUUGACUGGGGCGGUCGCCUCCUAAAGAGUAACGGAGGCGCCCAAAGGUUCCCUCAGAAUGGAUGGAAAUCAUUCGCAGAGUGUAAAGGCACAAGGGAGCUUGACUGCGAGACUGACAAGUCGAGCAGGGACGAAAGUCGGGCUUAGUGAUCCGGUGGUUCCGCAUGGAAGGGCCAUCGCUCAACGGAUAAAAGCUACCCCGGGGAUAACAGGCUUAUCUCCCCCAAGAGUCCACAUCGACGGGGAGGUUUGGCACCUCGAUGUCGGCUCGUCGCAUCCUGGGGCUGUAGUCGGUCCCAAGGGUUGGGCUGUUCGCCCAUUAAAGCGGCACGCGAGCUGGGUUCAGAACGUCGUGAGACAGUUCGGUCCCUAUCCGUCGCGGGCGCAGGAAAUUUGAGAGGAGCUGUCCUUAGUACGAGAGGACCGGGAUGGACACACCGCUGGUGUACCAGUUGUUCCGCCAGGAGCAUCGCUGGGUAGCUAUGUGUGGCAGGG